GGUGAGAUGGCCGAGCGGUCUAAGGCGCUAGCUUAAGGUGUUCCUGAGCUCCAGGAUAUCACAUUCGCUAGUCUGAAAAGGCGUGGGUUCGAAUCCCACUCUCAUCA
Hortaea werneckii EXF-2000 is the source of this 107-nucleotide non-coding RNA. Lineage: Eukaryota; Fungi; Ascomycota; Dothideomycetes; Mycosphaerellales; Teratosphaeriaceae. The record is from Rfam.